RNAcentral lists this ribosomal RNA (445 nucleotides) under uncultured bacterium. RNAcentral describes it as "partial 16S ribosomal RNA". It matches the Rfam family "Bacterial small subunit ribosomal RNA", at positions 354 to 796 of the family's 1533-position model. The record is from RNAcentral.
GUGAGGAAUAUUGGACAAUGGGCGCAAGCCUGAUCCAGCCAUGCCGCGUGCAGGAAGACGCAUCUAUGGUGUGUAAACUGCUUUUGUACGGGAAGAAACACUCCCUCGUGAGGGAGCUUGACGGUACCGUAAGAAUAAGGAUCGGCUAACUCCGUGCCAGCAGCCGCGGUAAUACGGAGGAUCCAAGCGUUAUCCGGAAUCAUUGGGUUUAAAGGGUCCGUAGGCGGUUUAAUAAGUCAGUGGUGAAAGCCCAUCGCUCAACGAUGGAACGGCCAUUGAUACUGUUAGACUUGAAUUACAAGGAAGUAACUAGAAUAUGUAGUGUAGCGGUGAAAUGCGUAGAUAUUAGGAGGAACACCAGUGGCGAAGGCGGCUUUCUGGACUGUAACUGACACUGAGGCACGAAAGCGUGGGGAGCAAACAGGAUUAGAUACCCUAGUAGUCC